Sebastes umbrosus (honeycomb rockfish) is the source of this 904-nucleotide long non-coding RNA. RefSeq lists it as uncharacterized. Lineage: Eukaryota; Metazoa; Chordata; Actinopteri; Perciformes; Sebastidae. The record is from RefSeq and is a predicted model, not a curated record. The transcript is spliced from 3 exons.
AGCAAUAUUGGCUGGUCCCUGUGGUGAUUAGUUUAACCGACCACUGAGAGGUUUGUCCUCUAACACAGUGAGAACUGGCCUCUGUCCCUCAGCUGGCCAUCACAGGGGUCACUGCUCUCCCUCUGCCAGUGUCACACAACAAACUCUCCUGGGACAACGCCACUAGUAAUCAAGUAACCUCUAAGCAGAUACAGGCCAGUCAAGUCAAGAGCAAUCCAGACAGAGCUCAGGGAUGAGAGGAGAGGUGAGGGUGGAAGCAAUGACCACCGCGACCAGAGACAUGCCCUGCUGCGGAUGAGACGAUGUGUCUGCUGGAAAUGAGCCAGAAGAUGCACAGUGCCCAGACUGGUUCUGAGGAAGGGUAUGUGGGAAUUCACUUUCCUUUGACACCGGGCGCACCACGGGUUCUGGCAACGCAGCAACCACUUGGCCGAGAGUGGGAAAUCCAAGGAAACUGCUUGCCUCGCAAACAUCCCCGGUGACAGGGAGCAAAACUGUUCCAAUCAUGGGAAGGAGCAGCUGACAAUGAUUCAAAUGUGCUAGAACAACGCUCUCAGAAGCAGCUGAGAGAUCCAUAUGUAUGAAGAUAACCGUGGCAUCAAACAGCUGAGUCCACUUGUUUUCUUCUCUCCAAACAGGAAACUCUGCCAUGCCUUCAUGAUCAUUCCUGUAUUUUGCGUAAUGAACAGUCUUGCAAAUGAGUCACCGGCUAAGCGUCUCUCUUUCUUUUCUCUCUCUCUAUUUUUUGGUUGUUAUUCUCCCUUGUAGUUGCAUCUUCCUAAUUCAUCACGCCUGUUUGAUAGUGUUGUGGCAGUUCUGUAAUAAAGGUAGGUUCAACAUGUUUUUGCUUCACCCAGGGCUCUCAACUAACUUUUUUCACCAUCCUCCCAGAACCGUCCCGAAA